Molecule: long non-coding RNA, 716 nt
Organism: Capsicum annuum
Lineage: Eukaryota; Viridiplantae; Streptophyta; Magnoliopsida; Solanales; Solanaceae
Exons: 2
Source: RefSeq, a predicted model, not a curated record
UUGAGCAAUAGCAACGACAAUCUCUCAUCACGAACAACAAACCCAAACCCGUACCUAAUCAUAACACCAAUAUCAAAACUUCAACCCAAAUUAAAUCUCAACGACCCAAAUUAAAUCAACCGCGAAAUCCAAAUCCAAAAACCUUUUCAAAUUUGAAAUGUUUGCACGAUUCUCGUACAAAAUUUAGCUGUCAAACCGCGUCACCAAAAAGGAAUUCCCGAAAAACUCAAAAUUACCCCCGUUGGCCUCUUUUCCCACAUCGAUUGAACACUAAAUGGGGAGCCUAGAUUUUCCUAUAAAAGGGACACGACAGAGAAGAAGGAGACUAACUCUAAAAAGAGGGAAAAACUAUUUUUGAGCAAAAUCAGUAAAAAUUUUCAUUUUUAGUAAAAAUUUUAGUGGUCGAUUUGUCAGAAUUCUCGAAGGAUCGACUUUCGGUGGUGGUGGAGUCCGACGUUAGCUCAAGGUUCUAUUUUGCUACUCCGAAAGAGAUGAAGCAGAUUUUGAGCCAAAUGGUCCAAAAAGAUGGUUCAAGAUAGGUUAUGGGCUAAAAGCUCAAUAUUUAGAUUAGGACAAGUGACAACAGGCCAAAAACCCAAAUGUAUAGUUUAGGACAGGUGCAAGCGGGUUUGGGACUAAAAGCCUAAUCUCAUUUUUUACCUUUUUCUUUUCUAUGGUUAUUUGCUAUUUGUGCCUUCGAAUUUAGUUAAAUUCCC